CCAGCCAUACACGUUGGAGGUUUCCAGAGGAGGGAGUGAGGGAAGGAAAGAGAGAGAGAGGGGUCACACAGAUCCCUUCAUCUUCCAUCCAAGCAAGCAAGAGGCUGCAUCGUGGUCCAAAGAUCCAUUCUAGCCAAGCAAAGCCAUUUACACGGAAACAGAGCAAGGUCAGUGAAGUGUGUGACCUGGGGAGAGGCUGUAGCCUUGGGAAAGCCAAAUAGGGAGGCUUGAGGUUCCCCACCCAGGGAACUGAAUUGCAGGUCUGAAGUGUAGCCAGUGCAUAUAGGGAUCUAGUAGUAGAUUUAGUAAUCUGCUAAAACCAAAAUCCAGUUAAGGUAAUUAGAAGGUCUAUAUAAUCCAGUUAAGGUAAUUAGAAGGUCUAUAUAAUCAGCAGCCUAUUAUUACACAUCCUAGUGUCCAUAUUUGUAUGAACUAGGAUCUUUCAAACUGGUGGCAGUGCACUUUUUAAUGAACUGUAAAAUAAAUAUGAUACUCACUUUCCAAUAGUAUAUGUUCUUGCAAUAAAAAAAUUGCAAUGUUUUCUGACAGGUAUUUUUCCUCCUCAAGUAUCAUUAGCAUUUCUAAUUGCUCAUUACUUGUGUAAAAGGCUUGACUCAGCAGCAUCUAUGCAUCGCUGUUACUGUGCAGCUGGGUUGCUACGUAACAAUGCAAGGUCACUUGGGUGCCUUGGAUAUUGAAAUAUAGGCACCGUAUUCAUUCGGAAUGGGUAAAACAUCCACACAUCUUCAUGAGGUACAGAAACCUCUGCAUGCAGGCUUGGUGAAAACUAUUGUUUGCCUGUGUGAUACAGUUCUCUGACAAGGUUCUUUUAGUUCAUAAUGAAUGCUAUUAGCUUUCAGAACUGGAAACUCCAUCUUUUUCAUAUUGUACGAAUCAUACUACUUCUGUUAGCCCUUGGAGAAUGGGCUUCAUUAGAAAUCUAAAUCAGCAAAUAUUUGGCUUUUCAGAGGUCUCUCUUUCUCAGUAAAUAGUGAAUUAGCAAUUGUUAUAUAGAUAAAUUUUGGGAUAUGUUUAGAUUUUAUGAACCUGUGUAAGUGCUGUCAUAAGGCAGAAUGACAUGGUACACAGACAAACGUGUUACCAAGCCCAUAUUUGGUGAAGUAAUGUAAAAGGAAUGUCAAUGGAGUUUUUAAAGGGGAGAAUUGGUUUAAUGAAGGCAGGCCCUACCAUUAAGCAGAAUGAAGUAGUGGUGGGUGCUGCAGGAGACACCCUACCAGCCUUUAACUCAAACUGCCUAAUCUAACAUCUCCUGCACCUCCUAAGAUGACCUGCUUCCUCCUCACAUGGACCCUAUGACCUGGCUUGCUUUCGUCAGCAGAGGUGAAUUUCGGGUUUUGCCUCACUGCAUGCUAAGCCUAGGGGGUACUGCAACAAUGACAUAGUGAAUUGAGGAGAAUGGAAGGUGAGAGGUGUGUGGGGUUGUGUGUGCCACAUUUUAGUCUCACACAGGGUGCUACUGAAAUUUGAAAGACCCAAGUCCACCCUUGUCCUCAGACAUGGUGGAAGAUGUUCUCUUUUUGCCAGUGUUGAAGAAGAUUCAUCUGCCAGUCAUAUACAGUACAUGGAUUGGAUAGAGGCACCAUAUUGUCUUUUACCUGAGGCAGAAAAAUGUAUUAGGCCAGACCUGAGUGUGCACGCAAAUCUCAUACUCACACAGUUUCUCCCUCACACAUUUCAGACUCAAUGGGUAGAUGCAGAAUUAAGCACCUCUUUGCCCCCACGCCAAUUCUUCCCCACUAUGGUGUUCAUGGGCCAGUAGGUGACACUGUGCAGGAAGGUUGUAGGUUGUAAAUAGGAAAAGAAGAAGUAUGUUUUACCUCGCCUGAUAUGGUGUCCCAGCAUACUGGCCCUGAUUCACAUUUGCCUUACUAGGAAAAGAUGAAUUGUGGAACUUUGUGUUUUCUUCACAUCAUAUAAUGGAUUUCUGUCAUGGCAUCAUUUGACAGGUGGUGAAAGGAGAGGGGUGUAAUCACAGAGCACUAUAUUUGCAGGGUAUGCCUCUGAAAAGCAUAUCUAGUAGACAUAUGCAUGCAAACAGCAGCAUUAUAAGCAAACUGGGUUUGAAAGAUCCUAGUUCAUACAAAUAUGGCUUCUAGGAUGUGUAGCAAUAGGAUGCUGAAGCCUAACAAAUAUAGAACUUUCCCAUUACCUUAAUUGGACAUUUUUAGCAGAUUACUGGCAGUGAAAUAAAUUCUUGAUACACUGACCCUAAGAUUUUUCUUGGCAUCUGCAUCACCAGAGCUCUUUUUGUGAUUAGAAAGGUGUUGUUUGGAUUGCAGGGACCAGAUCCUCUAGAUCAGCACUUUGGGGUUGUUCUAUCCAAAUUUGAUAUACUUUUUGCUAGUAAUCUCACAGUAGUGCUUGGCACCUGGCAUUCAGGAAUGUGAAAAAUGCAGUCCUAAAGAAAGAUUACCACUUGAACAUAAAACACAACUUGCCUUCGUUCCCCCACCAAACUCUGGAGAAUAUCUGUAGGCACUGGAAUGACUUGAUAAAGUGUCAGGGGUGCCAAUUUGAACAAAAUAUUGGGGGGGGGGCAGGGGGUAAGCCCCAUGUCUCAUGAUUUAUCACAUGAUGCGGUGCGCACACAUACACCAUUUGAACAGCAAUGCCCAUCAGGGUUUUUUUUAACAAGACAAGAUCACAAAGACACGGAGUAGUCUUCUCAAGAUUCUACUCCUAUUCAGGCAUUUGAGAGCAUUAAACUGGGGAGUGGGUACACAUGAAAACCCCACCUCCAACAUCCCUACAUGCGCUGGCUACACUUCAGACCUUUGCUCAUUUAUGAAAACACAGGGAUCUUGAUCACAGGGUAGCUCCUAAACACAUUUCACCAAACUCACUUAGAAGCCCCCUUUAGAUCUUUGUGCUGAAUGCUCAAAGGUCUGAAGAGGAACCAGCGUGCAUUGGGAUGUUGGGGGGUGGGUCUUCCAUAAGGUAGGACUCGAACCAAUGGCUUCAAAUUACAAGAAAGGAGAUUCCAACUAAACAUCAGGAAGAACUUUCUGACAGUAAGAACUGUUUGACAGUGGAACAGACUCUCUUGGAAGGUUGUAGACUCUCCCUUCCUUGGAGGUCUUUAAGCAGAGAUUGUAUGGCCAUCUGUCAUAGAUGCUUUAGUUGAGAGUUUAGUUGCAUUGCAGCGGGUUGGACUAGAUGACUCUCGGGGUCCCUUCCAACUCUACAAUUCUAUGUUUAUGAGACCUCUUCCUAGUAUAAGCCUUCAAAUGCCUGACUCAGACUAGAGAAGCACAUUCAUCCAAACAUGUUUAGAAAUCCCCUUCAGAUCUUAGUGCUUUAUGUGUAAAAUAUUGAAACAGAGCCAGUAUAGGUGAAGAUGUUUGCAAUAGGGCUUCCACACACAGCCCUCUCCCCAUUUGUGAUUAGGGUAAGUGAAACUUUUUUGGUAUUCUUAGUUCAGCUUUUAAGACUGGAGGAUGAAAGAAGUGACAAAUAAAAGCUCCUUCUAGGCAAAUAAAAUAUUGGAAAAUAAAAUGUUGGCUUGUAGUAACAAUAAAUAAAUAAAUAGAAUUACGUGAGGAAUCAUUUGAACAAGACAAGGCAGUUUCGAUGGCCUUUUUCUCCACAUGAGUGGCACUCGUCCAUCCUGCAGGUUAGUAUAAAGUAAGAUCACUUGUCAUAGCUGUAAGCUAUCAAUAAAAAUUAACGUACCACGGGAAAUUGAAAGGGGAGAAAGGUAUUUAAAUGUUCAGGGUCAUGGAUCUAUCCAUACAUUUCUCAUGAGCGUAUUUCGGUGAUAAGAGGCAUUGUUGUUUGCCACAGGCUGCCUUUUUCAUGUUUUAUUCCUACGUUAAAUGCCGGCAUAUUCAAAUCAAGGACAGAGGCAGUAAACCUGUAUGCAAUCAGCUAGCUGAACAGAGCUGAGUACUCUGGAACAGCCUUCCCCAACCUGGUGCUCUCAGGUUUUUUGGACGACAGUACAGGCUGGAGUGGAUGGAAGUUGCAGCCCAAAACACCUCGAGGGUACCAGGAUGUGGGAGGCUAUUCUGGAGUGAGAAAAUGCUAACAGUAUAUGAC
This is a non-coding RNA of Podarcis lilfordi (Lilford's wall lizard), 4059 nucleotides long. The record is from the annotation of a GenBank genome assembly. NCBI's taxonomy places the organism in Eukaryota, Metazoa, Chordata, Lepidosauria, Squamata, Lacertidae.